GUGCCAGCAGCCGCGGUAAUACGUAGGGUGCGAGCGUUGUCCGGAAUUACUGGGCGUAAAGAGCUCGUAGGUGGUUUGUCGCGUUGUUCGUGAAAACUCACAGCUUAACUGUGGGCGUGCGGGCGAUACGGGCAGACUAGAGUACUGCAGGGGAGACUGGAAUUCCUGGUGUAGCGGUGGAAUGCGCAGAUAUCAGGAGGAACACCGGUGGCGAAGGCGGGUCUCUGGGCAGUAACUGACGCUGAGGAGCGAAAGCGUGGGGAGCGAACAGGAUUAGAUACCCUGGUAGUCCACGCCGUAAACGGUGGGUACUAGGUGUGGGCUCCUUCCUUGGGAUCCGUGCCGUAGCUAACGCAUUAAGUACCCCGCCUGGGGAGUACGGCCGCAAGGCUAAAACUCAAAGGAAUUGACGGGGGCCCGCACAAGCGGCGGAGCAUGUGGAUUAAUUCGAUGCAACGCGAAGAACCUUACCUGGGUUUGACAUGC
This 486-nucleotide ribosomal RNA is filed under the name uncultured organism. RNAcentral describes it as "SSU rRNA". It matches the Rfam family "Bacterial small subunit ribosomal RNA", at positions 505 to 989 of the family's 1533-position model. The record is from RNAcentral.